GGUUUUUUGAAUUUAACUAGAAAAUCAGGCCUGCCCACUGAUAAAGGGCUGCAGUAUUUUGACUGUACAAAGGUAGCAUAAUCAUUAGUCUUUUAAUUAGGGACUGGUAUGAAAGGUUAGACGGGGAUAAGCUGUCUCAAAUAUAAAAAUAAAUUUUAUUUUUAAGGAAAAGAGCUUAAAUCUUUCAAAGGGACGAGAAGACCCUAUUAAAUUUGAUAUAAUGAAUUAUUUUUAAUUAUAUAAAAGGAGUAAGUAGGUAUUAAUUUUACUGGGGCGGUGUGUUUAUAACUUUAUUAUUAUUUAAUUUAUUAAAUAGCGGGCUUUUGAUCCGAGGAGAUUGAUAUUAGAUAAAAUUACUAUAGGGAUAACAGCGUGAUAUUUUUUGAGAGUUCUUAUUGACAAGAAUGUUUGCGACCUCGAUGUUGGAUUAAGAAGUCUUAUUGGUGCAGUAGUUUUUGAAGAGGGUCUGUUCGACCUUUAAAUUCUU
This 487-nucleotide ribosomal RNA is filed under the name Thyropygus resimus. Its description in RNAcentral is "partial 16S ribosomal RNA". It matches the Rfam family "Bacterial large subunit ribosomal RNA", at positions 1886 to 2597 of the family's 2925-position model. The record is from RNAcentral. Lineage: Eukaryota; Metazoa; Arthropoda; Diplopoda; Spirostreptida; Harpagophoridae.